This 62-nucleotide microRNA precursor is filed under the name Eptatretus burgeri (inshore hagfish). RNAcentral describes it as "Ebu-Mir-221-P2e_pre stem-loop". It matches the Rfam family "mir-221 microRNA precursor family", at positions 13 to 71 of the family's 84-position model. The record is from RNAcentral. Lineage: Eukaryota; Metazoa; Chordata; Myxini; Myxiniformes; Myxinidae.
ACCCAGCACACAUUGUAGAAUCCUGUGCCCUACAUGCAACAGCUACAUUGUCUGCUGGGUUA